AUCCUAACCCUAAACCCCUCCCCUUUUCCCUUUAACCUAACACAUACACAACACAGAAAACAGAAAGGAAAGAGAGAGGGCUCCAGGGAGAGCUGCGCCAGGAGAAGGAAGAGAGGAGAAUCGGGGAUGUCGCCAACGGAAAAGGGGAUUGCUGCCACCGUUGCCGUCGAGGGGGAGAGAGUUGCUGUCGCGUUUGUUGCAUCAUCGCCAUCGUGGAGCCGCGAAGAGGCCAUCACCGGUGCGAGCUCGCGGAGGGAGAGAGAAACCCGCGAAUUCGCUGCUGAGUCGCCGUUGGUGCGAGGAACAGAAGACGCGACAGGGGUUUGAGGCGGCGCCGUUAGCGUCACAGUCACCGUCGUUCCGUUCUGUCACUGUCACCAUUGACGCUCGCCGGAGAAGGAGCCACUGUCGGAAGAAACCAUUGCCGCUAUGUGUAGAGAGAAGAGAAGCGCGAGAAUCAGAGGUAAGAAAGGGAAACAACGCCGUUGUUGCUACUGUGUCACUGUCGGAGCUCCUCGCUGCCGCUCUGAUUGCCGGAAGUCGCCGCUAAAGCUGUUGUCGCCCUAUUGCCCUGUUCUUUUUAAUUUAUGGCUGAUCCACUGCUACUACCAUUGCAAACUAUUCAGUUGAUGCUGCUACCGUAACAAUUCCGCCUCCGAUUUCUCCUAAUUGCGACAUCGAGACAUUUUUUGCCCUUUUGUUGGAUAUAGAGAAGUGAGGCUUGUGAGCAAAGAAUCCAAACAUGUAAGUAUACUGUUCGUAAUAUUAUUAGCUUAUCCAAUUUUACGUUGAAAUGCAUGUUCAUUGUAGCAUUGUAGAGAUCCUCAGCUUGUGCAGCAAUUGCAAUGAGUGCCAUGCAGGGUAGUAUUUACUGUUUAUCAAUAAAUAAUUAUACAAAAGAAAGUUCUGCAUUUGUUGAUAUAAAUAAUCUAACUGAAUCAUUUGAGUAUGCGAUAACUUAGAUGAAGGUCUUCAAAUUGGAGGAUACAUUAACUUGUUUGGUAGAUACAAUGAACUGAAUUUAUUUAUUGAAUUUUUUAGCUGAAUUUUGCUUGUGUAAUAGAUGUGCUUAAGAAAAACUUGAAGAGCAACGAACAUGGUAAGAGGAAGAAUUAGCUCGAGUGAAAGCUCAAUUGGAAGCUCAACAAACCAUUGUGAACUCUUUCAUAGUGUGCUUUGACAAUGAAAAAAACAUGACAAUUAAAGGUGUAUGGUGUAGUUCACGUCAACAUUAGUACCAUGUCUCACUUAGCUUAUGGAAGGAUACUUGAAGAGCGCUCUACUACCAAUAGACUAGACUUGAGGGUGUAAAUCACUCUACCAUGUCGAGCAUUAUAAGUGGGGCAGACUUACCUGAGGCAAUAGCAGAAGAUCACCCGACUCUAACAAACUAUCUGCACUCGUUAAUAUAUCAUGAACAAGAUAAGGAGUUCGUUCACAAAGAUGUGUAGCUCCUCCAAUGAUAUCUAAUUGUCUCCUCUACUUUUUUUCUGAUGCCUGGUAGUGAUCAACCACCUACUUUUGCAAGGCCGUCCACUGCCUGUGAGACUACUCUUGGAAACGCUGGUGAAGAUGAUAAUGAAUACUUGAUGAGGACUACGAUUAAUGAUAUUGAUGUAGUUUAUUUUUAAUUUUGUUAACAUAUAUUUUACAAUUUUUUUCUAAUUGUAUUUAGUAUAUCAUUGUUGUUUGAGUAUGAUUUUUGAAUCAAUUUAACCGAUAGUUAUCAACGUUAAUAUUAUUAAUGAUUAUUAAUGAUGGUUGUAAGACGCCGAUAAAAGUAGAUAGAAAAUUACCAAUAGAGAUAUAUUUGACAAAUAUUUACUGACGUCUUGGUUGUUGGUAAACCCAUCGGUAAUGAAGAAUUUGCUAGUAGUGAUUGCUAGAAGAUUUAAACGAGAAGCCAAAUUUGUAGAGAUAGAGUUUGGAAAUACAUGGUUUUCCCAUAAAUCACACCAUGACGGGAUAUAAGGAGUGUAGGUUUAGCAUGGGAAGAAGCGAGUUAAUUAUCUUGGAUGUAUUAUUCGGAAAAAUGGAAAAAUAAUAGAAGAUAAAC
Molecule: long non-coding RNA, 2056 nt
Organism: Arachis duranensis
Lineage: Eukaryota; Viridiplantae; Streptophyta; Magnoliopsida; Fabales; Fabaceae
Exons: 3
Source: RefSeq, a predicted model, not a curated record